Molecule: unclassified non-coding RNA, 22 nt
Filed under: Mus musculus (house mouse)
Lineage: Eukaryota; Metazoa; Chordata; Mammalia; Rodentia; Muridae
Description: oocyte_clustered_small_RNA9778
Source: RNAcentral
ACCCUGAAGAAUCUGGGACAAG